GUAAAGUGGCAAACGGGUGAGUAACACAUGGGUAAUCUACCCUUGGGUGGGGAAUAACUUCCCGAAAGGGGAGCUAAUGCCGACGAUACGUAGCAGUCUCGAGAGGGGACUUCUAGAAAGCCGUACCGAGGGUGCGGCGCCCGAGGAUGAGCUCAUGUCCUAUCAGCUUGUUGGCGGGGUAAUGGCCCACCAAGGCUACGACGGGUAGCUGGUCUGAGAGGACGACCAGCCACACUGGCACUGCGACACGGGCCAGACUCCUACGGGAGGCAGCAGUGAGGAAUAUUGCGCAAUGGGCGAAAGCCUGACGCAGCGACGCCGCGUGGGGGAUGAAGGCCUUCGGGUUGUAAACCCCUUUCGGGAGGGAAGAUGGGGCGGGUAACCGCUCGGACGGUACCUCCAGAAGCAGCCACGGCUAACUCUGUGCCAGCAGCCGCGGUAAGACAGAGGUGGCAAGCGUUGUUCGGAUUUACUGGGCGUAAAGGGUGCGUAGGUGGUUAGGUAAGACCUGCGGGAAAGACCUGGGCUUAACCCAGGAAGGUCACAGGUGACUGCCUAGCUAGAGGGCGGGAGAGGAGAGCGGAAUUCCCGGUGUAGCGGU
RNAcentral lists this ribosomal RNA (601 nucleotides) under uncultured bacterium. Its description in RNAcentral is "bacterial SSU rRNA". It matches the Rfam family "Bacterial small subunit ribosomal RNA", at positions 90 to 682 of the family's 1533-position model. The record is from RNAcentral.